This 233-nucleotide ribosomal RNA is filed under the name uncultured bacterium. Its description in RNAcentral is "partial 16S ribosomal RNA". It matches the Rfam family "Bacterial small subunit ribosomal RNA", at positions 28 to 267 of the family's 1533-position model. The record is from RNAcentral.
GAUAAACGCUGGCGGCGUGCUUCAGGCAUGCAAGUCGAACGAACACCUUCGGGUGUGAGUGGCGGACGGGUGAGUAACACGUAAGCAACCUGCCCAGUAGUGGGGAACAACUUGCCGAAAGGCGAGCUAAUACCGCAUGUGAUGGCUUUUCCCUGGAGGGGUCAUUAAAGGCCGAAAGGUCGGCUACUGGAGGGGCUUGCGGCUGAUUAGCUAGUUGGUGGGGUAAUGGCCUA